This is a non-coding RNA of Acanthosepion pharaonis, 110 nucleotides long. The record is from the annotation of a GenBank genome assembly. Lineage: Eukaryota; Metazoa; Mollusca; Cephalopoda; Sepiida; Sepiidae.
GAUCAUAUCACCUUCCAAUAUCGGUUCUCGUACGAUUACAGAAGUUAAGCAACGUUGAGCCUGGUCAAUAUAUAGAUGGGUGACCGAUUGGGAAUAACCGGUGCUGUAAG